UACGAAGGACCCAAGCGUUAUCCGGAUUUAUUGGGUUUAAAGGGUGCGUAGGCGGGUUAUUAAGUCAGUGGUGAAAGCCUUCAGCUUAACUGAAGAAUUGCCAUUGAUACUGACGAUCUUGAGUAUGAUUGAGGUGGGCGGAAUGUGUCAUGUAGCGGUGAAAUGCUUAGAUAUGACACAGAACACCGAUUGCGAAGGCAGCUCACUAAGUCAUAACUGACGCUGAUGCACGAAAGCGUGGGGAGCAAACAGG
Molecule: ribosomal RNA, 253 nt
Filed under: uncultured bacterium
Lineage: Bacteria
Description: partial 16S ribosomal RNA
Rfam family: Bacterial small subunit ribosomal RNA
Source: RNAcentral